UGCGCACAACAGUUCCAGCGGCACAUUCAAAACAAGUUAAAGGCUAAAGUGGCGAAAGGAGCGUUGAACAAAUGUAAGGGUAUCUUCCAAAAUGUCAACUUUGACUUCAUACGAAACGUCUGAAUAUCCUGGAGAUCCAACAGAACUGGAAUAAGGAGAGUACGAAGAUCCUCAGUGUGCACACUGCUUCCACAGUCACAAAGAGGCGCUCCAGUGAGAAGAGCGUGCCAACGUAUUUGGGUGUUAACCACACCCACUAGUGUGAGCAAACACUGACUAGGAAGCAGCCUCUUCUCGAGCCAUCUGUUGUGCGAAUGUUCAUGCUUGCCAAUGUCCUCGGCAAAGCAGUGCAAGUGGUCAGUUUGAGCAUUUAGGAAUUAUGCAAACGUGGGCUCAACUGGACUUUAUUCUGGACAUUUGGGAAAUGCUUAAAAAAAUACAGAAGCAAAUGAUUUGAUAGAACAUGUACAGUAAAAGUAUUUUUUUUUCUUAAAAAUGGCAAAAUACACCAGGCUUCAAAACAUGUUUCUAAUUCACAGAGAAAUAACUGAAAAAAAAAAGCACAAAAUUCUCAAAGGACCGAAUUACAUACAUUUAAAUACUUCAAUUGAGACAACCUUUUAUAAAAUAGAAUAUCCUUCAUAUUAGCAACCGCCAUUAAACGUUGCUGUUUUAAAAACACUCAAAAGACUGGACGUGUUGUCAUGACAACGGAAAGACUGGCAUGCUUGUGACUUGUUAAGUCAUCUCAUCAAGUGCGUGGUGCGAUUUAAAAUCCAAAACAUUUCUCUCGUUCUGCGUACAGAUGCAGCUGAAUGUGACGGUGCUUUAUGUAACGGAGAAAACACAGUUAAGCAGGCGGGUGACGGGAUUUUCAUUAUCUCCAGCAUGUUGGUAAACAUGAACCCAUUAAAAGGGAUCUCUUCACUCAGUGGUGGCUUUCACUUCACAACCCACAGCAGCUGUUAAGCCUAGAUGAGUGUCAAACCACCGUCUUAAUCACAGUGGUAAAAGCAACAGAUUUUUGAAACGACAAGUCACAUGUCAGAUUUUGGUUUCAAGAAAUGUUGAUACUUCAUAUAAAAAGUAUAGUUUUGUAGGCCUAUUCUGCCCAAGGUUUUAGCUUUUUAUAUGCGAAUGGCCAUCUUAUGCCUAAAAAGUGAUUCCUCAAUUUUUGGCAAGUAACACCGGGGUUGUUCAAACGAUUGCACAUAUGACGGGAAAACUUUGGCAUAUCAAAGUAAGGACAACAUGUGAUAUAUAGCUACUAGAUAUUUAUAUAUAUAUUAAGGCGUGUACUUUUAAGCUAGCGGCUAAAUAAAUAGUCCUGAAAGGCGUGGCUUAACUUCCUUUUAACUGCAGCAAAAUGUGAUCAUUUUACAGCAUUGAAUCAAAGGCCAUAAAUACGAGGCAGAUAUGUUCAAGUCUUCUAGGUUUUCAACAUGCUUGAAGCAGGUUAGCUGAGAAAGGAGGACACCUCUAGCUCAAUUCGUACGUCAUUCUAUGAUGACAUUUAAAAGUCAACACCAGUGAUCAACAUUUUUAAAUGUCUACACAUCGCCGCCAUAACGUUUUGCUGAAUGAGAACCAUCUUCUCUGUGAUAAUGAUUCUCAGAAAAUCCCUGAUGCCUAGGCAAAGCUGAAUCAUCCAUUUCAUCACAGGUACAAUCGUCCAGGUUUGCGCCGAUUCGGUUCGCCAGCUUCUCCACUUCGUACUUGUGCAAGUACUCUUGGACCAGGUAGCGCUCUCUCUUUAUGCGAUCCUUCACGUCGGCCGGAACGUCAGGAAUCAUCCAAGCCAAAAAGAACUUGACAAAAAAAACGACGUGCUGUAGAGCAAAGAGGCGGAGUACAAAUAAUUAUGCAUGGCCAAUGGCCAUGUAGAGACACACUAUACUAAGGAACAUUUCUUCAAGCAUCUACUUUUUUGUCGGUGUAUCUAUUAGGCUUACCUCCAUGACGAUAAUGAAGAGCAGCUUGGCAGCAAAAAUAUGCCAAUACUGCAAUGUGAGGGUGUACUGAUCCACAUGGCCAGGAGGGUAGCGGUAGUCAGGGUACCUGCGUAAUUGGUGUGUUAGCAUUAGCAUUCAGCACUCUGAUACCAAAGUGCAGAUAAAAAAUCCGUAGUAAACAAACAUACAGCUAAGACACACACACACCUGCAGGUUGUAAUGGAGCUGUUAAACCAGGGCGGAAUCUCGUCGUCUUCUGGCCUGCUGUCCAGUGGCAUGUCUUCAAUUUUGAACACAGACAGGCUGUUGUUGAUGUAGCCUUUCAUCGUAAAUCCUGGCUCGUAAGCAUACAUAUACACCAGUCGGGGGAUCAUUUCAGACGUGUAGGCCACAAUGAAUGCCUGCAACAGAAAAAUAAAAGGAUUUUUAUUUUGUGUAUCUGGGCAGUAACCCAGUGGGGAAAAAAAAGUUGUAGUCCACCUCUUACAUUGGUAACAACAGAAAGGAUAGCGACCCCACUCAGGAUUUCCUCCCAGGCGCCGAUGCUGUGAGUUUUGGAUGCCACAGGACGUCUGAACUGAGUGGUGAGUUUCCAGGCAUCGACUCGAACCUCAAUGAUGUUGUUGAAGAGUGCCAGCAGGGGAGCCAAUGGGAAGGAGGCCACAAACAGAGUGAUGAAACCAAACUGGAUCACUGGAGCACAAAGGAAAAUGAUAAGGGAGUCAUUUAGGCAAGGAACACUGCCAUCUGCAGGAUAUUAUUGUCUAGGCCUUGCACUGCAACUGGCUUUGAAGUGCAAGUAUAGCAAUUUAUAGCAAAAAUAGCAAAAGCAAUAAUUACUCCAAAAUUCUCUAUUGAUCCCGAGCAUUAUAUAUAUAUUUUUUUAUCAAAAGCAGAAUUUAUCCAGCCCUUGCACUGUGUCUCAAUAGGUUGCGCAAGUGUACCUAAAAUAACAACUGAAACUAAACUGGCUAUCUUACCCAUUUCCAGAUACUCGUAGAAGAGUUCCAGCUGCCCAAACAUCAGCAAGUUGUAGUCUUGCUCCCAGCGGGUGUACAGACUCUCCGGUUGGCAACGAUUUUUUCUGCCGCGCCACCAGUUCAUUAACCACCUGACAGACGCAACCUUGAAGGGGACCUUGAUCUUCAGCACAUCUGCGUAGGUGGCCAACACUUCCCACGGAGCGUGGAUCUUCACAAAAUAGAUCUGCCUUAUGUGCUUCUGUUUGGAGCCACGUCUGCCAAGUGGAGCGGCUCGAGGUCUGUCCAUCCGCCGCUAACCUCAAACUACUGGAACUCUUCUUCUCUUUACUUUUUACACCUUGAGACCGCCAACAGGCCGCUGGUGGAACAGCAGGCAGCCAACAAAGUUUGGUCAGACACAGUUCACAGCGUUUAACCUCAAUUCCACUCUGCACCCUGUCCUCCAGUUCAGGAAAGCCUCUCCCUUGCCAUCGCCCAUGAAUUUAAAUUUAGUGUCCGGGCCUUGUUGCUGUCCUUUAUGUGGCCUCCAUCGUCCUGUACUCGUGUAAUUACGUUGGGCUGCAAUGCGGGGUGUGGCAGCAUGCACAGAAAUACAGCUACUCAUUUCCCCUAACCACUUUUUCUUCAGUCUCAUAUUGUCCGUUCUCCGCAACAUGUGGCGCUUCUUGGGUGUGCACUGCCAAUGUCUAAUGGUAAACAGUUGCCAGUAAUGACAAGACAAGCAGGACCACCUUUGAUUUUGAUUCGAUGAACUGUAAUAUUGGAAUAUACAGUAUGUAAUUCAGUAUAUCGCUUACAGUAAAUACAAGUUGAAAGUGGAAAUUUUAAAAUGGACACACUUUGUCCAAAUGUUUCACUUGUGUGUCGAGUUAAAUGAAGACUACUGAUAAAAAGUAUGAUAUCCCCUCUGUGACCAGUACUGAGAUGGCCGCUGUGGAAAAUUAUUUCAUGUGUCCAAAUACUCCCAAAUUUGAUCCCCUUGCAAUCUUGCAGGCACAUGUGGAGGCCCGCCUUAUGUUCACCAGUGAACAUUUAAAUGAUACAGCUCUGGCGAAAGUGCUGUGGUUAGAUGAGCCCAAAGUUUUUUGGCAUCAACUCGCCUUGUCGUGUUUGGAACACCAUUCCCACAGUUAGUUUUGGAUGAGGAAAUGUGUUUUAGGGCUGGUUUAUAGCACAAGGGCACAAUGACCCAAACCAUACUGCCAGACAAUAAAAGAGCGGCUCAGGAAGAAGCUUAUCAAGGUCAUGAAGUGACCUCAAAUCAACAGAAAAACUGCUGGAGCUGGAAGUUUCCAGGCUAAUCCAAGAAACUUGAAGGCUUUAGCGCUGGGAUGUCACAUUUGUUUUAAUUAGAAGAUACAUUGAGCCAAACUCACGGAGGGUGGACGACAGUUAUGAUGGUAAAGCCAUAUGCAAAAAUCCAUUACCACAAGGGAAGCAAACGGUUGGACAGAAGUCACAGUUUGAUACAUAGCUUCGGCUCAUCUAAGGGUAGGAAACAAAAUGCAAAACAAACCGCAGGGCUCGAAGCUUAUUUUUUGCCCAAGUUGCCCUCGGGCAAGUUGGAGAAAAUUUUACUUGCCCGAAACAAAAUUUUACUUGCCCGAAUUUUUUUGGAGUUGAUUUUUACUUGCCCGACACAUUUUUGCAAUAAAAAAGACAACACUAUAAGUUUUGCCUUCAUAUGUUUUUAUUCCAUCAUAUUGUGCCUGCAGCCUGUUUUAAUACAGUGUAGAACUUUUGAUGCAAUUAAACCACACUAGUCUACUGUAGUACCAAAAUUCAACCGGAAACAAGCUCUGCUGGUGCGCAGGCGCAGAAGAGCCAGGGACGGGUGAGGGAGCAUGCAUUUAAUUACGAAGCGCUUUGCCGUUAUCAAUGUAUUGCAGACUUACACGAGAAACUAACCGCUCCCUAGAAAACAAAAUGUCGGACCAGAAGCGGCAGAAGUUGCGAGAAAUUAUGCACAAAAUCGUCUUUUUACAGCUUGAAAACAUGGUAUUAUGGCAGGGCAAGUUCGGGCAAGUGAGGAAAAAUUCUACUUGCCCGUCUGCCAUCGCUACUUGCCCCGGGCAAUCGGGCAAUCGUUAGUUUCGAGCCCUGCAAACCGCAUGUGUUUUGUGUAAACAGGAACAGAUUUAUUGACAUUUAAAAUAAAACAUCAAGUUUAGGUGACCAAUGGGCAAUUUAAAUGCUGGUGGGGGGCACAGUGUUAAACGGGGUCCAUUUUUUGACACACUUCCUAAACAGAUGUAUGACGUAAAUGCUCUGAUUAUUUCAUUUUUUACAAUACAUUUUCCUUUUUUCAAUGCAGUUUCAAAGGAUUCAUCCCAUGCAGUAUAAUUACAUAAUUGUCCAGG
Long non-coding RNA from Syngnathus typhle (broad-nosed pipefish), 5295 nucleotides. RefSeq lists it as uncharacterized. The record is from RefSeq and is a predicted model, not a curated record. Lineage: Eukaryota; Metazoa; Chordata; Actinopteri; Syngnathiformes; Syngnathidae. The transcript is spliced from 8 exons.